Molecule: ribosomal RNA, 492 nt
Filed under: uncultured bacterium
Lineage: Bacteria
Description: partial 16S ribosomal RNA
Rfam family: Bacterial small subunit ribosomal RNA
Source: RNAcentral
AGUGAACGCUGGCGGUAGGCCUAACACAUGCAAGUCGAACGGCAGCACAGUAAGAGCUUGCUCUUACGGGUGGCGAGUGGCGGACGGGUGAGGAAUACAUCGGAAUCUACUUUUUCGUGGGGGAUAACGUAGGGAAACUUACGCUAAUACCGCAUACGACCUACGGGUGAAAGCAGGGGAUCUUCUAACCUUGCGCGAUUGAAUGAGCCGAUGUCGGAUUAGCUAGUUGGCGGGGUAAAGGCCCACCAAGGCGACGAUCCGUAGCUGGUCUGAGAGGAUGAUCAGCCACGCUGGAACUGAGACACGGUCCAGACUCCUACGGGAGGCCGCAGUGGGGAAUAUUGGACAAUGGGGGCAAGCCUGAUCCAGCCAUACCGCGUGGGUGAAGAAGGACUUCGGGUUGUAAAGCCCUUUUGUUGGGAAAGAAAAGCAGCAGGUUAAUACCCCGCUGUUCUGACGGUACCCAAAGAAUAGGCACCGGCUAACUUCGUG